Molecule: long non-coding RNA, 2242 nt
Organism: Scylla paramamosain (green mud crab)
Lineage: Eukaryota; Metazoa; Arthropoda; Malacostraca; Decapoda; Portunidae
Exons: 2
Source: RefSeq, a predicted model, not a curated record
CAGGCAGUUCACAAAUUGCCUGAAAAAAUAAGUCACUUUACAAAUUGUCUGGAUUCAGGUAUUGACUGUAACAUAUAUAAACGCAUCUGUGGAUUUUUAUUUAUCGACUUCUAUAUAUAUCUAUUCAUAUAUAAGAAACUAAAUUUUAAUGUUGGUAUCCCUGAGUGCCACACGCGUUUAAUAGGUGAGCAGCAUCACCGUCCACGUCCACCAGGCCGCCACUCCAGCUGUACUGUCGCAGCGGGAAACACUGUCUCCAAUUUGUUCGUCUGAUGUUGAUUCUUCUGUGAUGUCCAGAAAGCGGGUGUACAAAGAAGAAUUCCUUGGCACUGGGUUUACGUGUCUCAUCGAUCAUGGGGUCGAAAAACCUUAAUGCAUUGCAUGUGGGAAAGUGCUCAGUCUCGAGUCGCUUAAAGAAAAUAAGCUCAAGCGCCAUCUCCAGGGAAAACACCCAACUCUGGCGGGGAAAGAUCGUGAAUCGUGAAUAUUUCAAGAGGAAAGAAGAACAACUGAAAUGUUAGCGGUUAGACAACCUAUGCACAUAGGAAUAUAUUCUGUUCAACAAUCAACACUUGCAUCCUACCUCGUUGCAAAAAAAAAAAAAAAUUGCUAAGUGUAUGCAGCCACACAUAAUUGGGGAAAAGUUGGUAAAGUCAGCUGUCCUUGAUAUGGUUCGUACCAUUAUCGGAGAUGUUGCACUGAAAAAAAAAAAAAAAAAAUUCCACUGUCAGACAACACAAUUAACCGACGAAUUCAAGAGAUGUCAGGAGACAUCAAAGAACAGGUAGUGGCUGCCAUCAAGGAGAGUGAAAAAUUCAGCUUGCAGUUGGAUGAGUCAACUGACGCCAGUGACGAUGCUCAGCUCUUGAAUAUGUGCGGUACCAAGAGAAGAGCGACAUUGAAGAGGACUUCCUGUUCUGUGAACGACUGGAGACGACAACAACAGGUGAAGAUCUGUUAAAGCUGGGUGACAGUUUCAUCAAAGAAGAAGGCCUUAGAUGUAAUCAGUGCUUCAAUGUGUGCUUGGAUGGAGCACCUGCAAUGCUAGGGGCACGUCAGGGUUUCACUGCUAGGGUAAAACAAGUCAACCCCACAGUGAUAGUGACUCAUACAUUGUCUGCUCCACCGGGAAAACCUUGCCUCUCGGAAAAUAUCACGAGCUUAACACUGUGAUAGAAGAUGUGAUUCAAAUAGUGAAUUUUAUUAAAUCCUCAGGAUUCAAGGAUUUUCAGCCAGAUAUGCUCUGAUAUGUGGUCAGAAUAAGAACACCUGCUUUACUACUCUUUUGUCAGGUGGCUGUCCCGAGGGAAAGUGCUCCAGAAGGUGUUUGGCAUGCGUGUAGAGGUUGAAAUCUUCUUAAACGAGAAGAAACAUGCACUGGCAUCAGGGCUUACAUAACCAAGGUAGUUUCUUAAACUGGCAUAUCUGACAAACAAAUUCAGAGUUGAAUUUGCUGAAUAUAUCCAUGCAACGAAAAGAUGAAACUCAUAUCUGUGUCAGAAAAGCUCAAAGCUUUCAAGGCAAAGCUGAGGUUGUAUAAGGGCAAGAUCGAACAGGGAAAAACUGUGUCCUUUCCAUUCCUUAAUCUCUUCUGGAAGAUGAAGAAGACACCUCACUUUUGGACGUAAAAAGUGUCAUUGUUGAGCACCUUCAGAAAUUGAGUGAGGAGUCUGACGGGUAUAUUCCGGAUGGAGAGUUGCAUGAGAAAUACAAAUGGGUGCGGAGACCCUUCGGUGUCCACGCCGAGGACCUCUCAGAGGAAGAGAGUCUUCUAUCCGAAAUCUGCAAGAGGUGCAUCGUGAAGAAACUCUUCAUUCCAACUUUCAGCGACACUCUCUAGGCAUGUUCUGGACUGGUGUGACGAAAGGGAAACCAGUCCUUGGAGGUGAGGCUGUGAAAGUGUUGUUGCCUUUUGCUACAACCUAUUUGUGUAAAUCAGGGUUUGCAGCUCUGACUGCCAUCAAAACAAACAAAAACAAAAAAAAAAAAAAAAAAAAACAGAAAUCGGCUGCAACCUGAACAUGAUUUGAGGGAAGCACUUUCUAAGACUGAACCACGAAUAGAUAAAUUUAGCAGCAUGAUCCAGGCCCAAGGUUCCCAUUAAGAUCAAUUUAUUAUUUCAUAGAAAACAUUUAUACUUGAAGUUUGUUUUUUGUGGAAUGUGACAAUAUUAUUCCAGAAGUAAAUGUUUUAAUUAAUAUUAAGCAUUAAAAGUUAUAAUGUAUAAUAAAAUUUAAUUAUG